UACGGAGGGGCGAGCGUUGCUCGGAUUUACUGGGCGUAAAGCGACUGUAGGCGGCUUCGCAAGUCAGGUGUGAAAGCCCUGGGCUCAACCCGGGAAUUGCAUUUGAAACUGCGUGGCUAGAAUCAUGGAGAGGGUAGCGGAAUUCCCAGUGUAGAGGUGAAAUUCGUAGAUAUUGGGAAGAAUAUCGGUGGCGAAGGCGGCUACCUGGCCAUGUAUUGACGCUGAGAGUAGAAAGCGUGGGGAGCAAACAGG
RNAcentral lists this ribosomal RNA (252 nucleotides) under uncultured bacterium. Its description in RNAcentral is "partial 16S ribosomal RNA". It matches the Rfam family "Bacterial small subunit ribosomal RNA", at positions 524 to 776 of the family's 1533-position model. The record is from RNAcentral.